Molecule: ribosomal RNA, 1277 nt
Filed under: Ochthebius delgadoi
Lineage: Eukaryota; Metazoa; Arthropoda; Insecta; Coleoptera; Hydraenidae
Description: 16S ribosomal RNA
Rfam family: Archaeal large subunit ribosomal RNA (bases 594-1277)
Source: RNAcentral
AUUAAUUUAAUUAUUUAUUAUUUUUUAAAUAAAAUAUUAUUUAUUUUUAUUAUUAUUAAAGAAAAAAUUAAUUAAUUUAUAGUUAAUAGUAUUGUGAAAGAAAUUUGAAAUAUUUGAAAAAUUAAAUGUUAAAAAGAAUAAUUAAUUUUUAGUACCUUGUGUGUCAGGGUUUAUUAAUAAAAUUUUAUUUAUAUAAAUUUCUCGAUUUUAAAAGAGUUAAAUAAUUAUUUUUUUUAAUGUUAAAUAAUUAUUAAAAAUAUUUAUUUAGUAAUGAAACGUUAAUCGUUUUUAAAUAUAUCUAGUUUCUUAAGAAAUAAAUUAAAUUUAUUUGUUAGUAUUAACUUAAUUAAUUUUAAAAUUUUGUUUUAUUAAUAGAAAAUAUUUUAAGGGAUAAGCUUUAAAAUAAAUUUAUAUAAUGUUAUUUAAUUAAAAAAAUAGUAGGAUUAAAAUUUUCUUUCUUUAUUAAUAUGUUAUAAUUAAUUUUUUAAUAUUAUUUUUUAUAUAAUGUUUAUAUUUUUUAUUAAGAUUAUUUAUUUAAUAAUUUUAUAAAUGUAAUAAUGAUAAAAUUAGUAUAAUUUUUUGUUAAAAUAAUUUAUUUUUAUAAGGUUAAAUUAAGGAAUUCGGCAAAUUAAUUUUUCGCCUGUUUAAUAAAAACAUGUCUUUUUGAUUAUAAUUUAAAGUCUAACCUGCCCAAUGAAUUUUUAAUGGCCGCGGUAUUUUGACCGUGCAAAGGUAGCAUAAUCAUUAGUUUUUUAAUUGAAAGCUGGAAUGAAUGGUUGGACGAGAAAAUUACUGUCUCAAUUUAAUUUAAUUAGAAUUUUAUUUUUAAGUUAAAAAGCUUAAAUAAAUUUAAAAGACGAGAAGACCCUAUAGAGUUUAAUAUUUUAUUAAAUUAUUUUUUUUUAUAAUAUUUAUAAUUUUAUAAAUUAUUUUAUUGGGGUGAUAUAUAAAUUAAACAAACUUUAUAUAUUUUUUUACAUAAAUUUAUGAAAAAAUGAUCCAUUUUUUAUGAUUAUAAGAUUAAAUUACCUUAGGGAUAACAGCGUAAUUUUUUUAGAGAGUUCUUAUCGAAAAAAAAGAUUGCGACCUCGAUGUUGGAUUAAAAUAAAUUUUUGGUGUAGAAGCUAAAAUAUUAAGUCUGUUCGACUUUUAAAAUUUUACAUGAUCUGAGUUUAAACCGGCGUGAGCCAGGUUGGUUUCUAUCUUUAAAAUGAUUAAAAUAUUUUAGUACGAAAGGACCAAAUAUUUAUAAUAAUUAUUAUAUUUUGAAUAUUAAU